Molecule: non-coding RNA, 32 nt
Filed under: Rattus norvegicus (Norway rat)
Lineage: Eukaryota; Metazoa; Chordata; Mammalia; Rodentia; Muridae
Source: RNAcentral
UGCGUGAGGUGCAGAAGAGCCCUUUUGGCAAG